GCAUUUCAGCUUAGUUGGCAGAACAUGAGACUCUUGAUCUCAGGGUUGUGAGUUUGAGCCCCAUGUUGGGCC
Podarcis lilfordi (Lilford's wall lizard) is the source of this 72-nucleotide non-coding RNA. NCBI's taxonomy places the organism in Eukaryota, Metazoa, Chordata, Lepidosauria, Squamata, Lacertidae. The record is from the annotation of a GenBank genome assembly.